GGACUACCGGGGUUUCUAAUCCCGUUUGCUCCCCUAGCUUUCGCACCUCAGCGUCAGUUGUGGACCAGAGAGCCGCCUUCGCCACCGGUGUUCCUCCUGAUAUCUACGCAUUUCACCGCUCCACCAGGAGUUCCGCUCUCCCCUACCACACUCGAGCAUCGCAGUAUGCCUGGCAGUUCCACGGGUGAGCCGUGGGAUUUCACCAGACACUUACGACACCGCCUACGUGCGCUUUAAGCCCAGUAAUUCCGAACAACGUUUGCACUCUCUGUAUUACCGCGGCUGCUGGCAC
This 292-nucleotide ribosomal RNA is filed under the name uncultured bacterium. Its description in RNAcentral is "partial 16S ribosomal RNA". The record is from RNAcentral.